RNAcentral lists this ribosomal RNA (253 nucleotides) under uncultured bacterium. RNAcentral's name for it is "partial 16S ribosomal RNA". It matches the Rfam family "Bacterial small subunit ribosomal RNA", at positions 524 to 776 of the family's 1533-position model. The record is from RNAcentral.
UACAGAGGGUGCAAGCGUUGUUCGGAAUUAUUGGGCGUAAAGCGCACGUAGGCGGCUUUGUAAGUUAGAGGUGAAAGCCCGGGGCUCAACCCCGGAAUUGCCUUUAAGACUGCAUCGCUUGAAUCCGGGAGAGGUGAGUGGAAUUCCGAGUGUAGAGGUGAAAUUCGUAGAUAUUCGGAAGAACACCAGUGGCGAAGGCGGCUCACUGGACCGGUAUUGACGCUGAGGUGCGAAAGCGUGGGGAGCAAACAGG